CUGACGAGUUUGAUCCUGGCUCAGAACGAACGCUGGCGGCAUGCCUAACACAUGCAAGUCGAACGAACCCUUCGGGGUUAGUGGCGCACGGGUGCGUAACGCGUGGGAAUCUGCCCAAAGGUUCGGAAUAACACAGAGAAAUUUGUGCUAAUACCGGAUAAUGUCUUCGGACCAAAGAUUUAUUGCCUUUGGAUGAGCCCGCGUUGGAUUAGCUUGUUGGUGGGGUAACGGCCCACCAAGGCGACGAUCUAUAGCUGGUCUGAGAGGAUGAUCAGCCACACUGGGACUGAGACACGGCCCAGACUCCUACGGGAGGCAGCAGUGGGGAAUAUUGGACAAUGGGCGAAAGCCUGAUCCAGCAAUGCCGCGUGAGUGAUGAAGGCCUUAGGGUUGUAAAGCUCUUUUACCAGGGAUGAUAAUGACAGUACCUGGAGAAUAAGCUCCGGCUAACUCCGUG
RNAcentral lists this ribosomal RNA (457 nucleotides) under uncultured bacterium. Its description in RNAcentral is "bacterial SSU rRNA". It matches the Rfam family "Bacterial small subunit ribosomal RNA", at positions 1 to 507 of the family's 1533-position model. The record is from RNAcentral.